Molecule: ribosomal RNA, 254 nt
Filed under: uncultured bacterium
Lineage: Bacteria
Description: partial 16S ribosomal RNA
Rfam family: Bacterial small subunit ribosomal RNA
Source: RNAcentral
UACAGAGGUCUCAAGCGUUGUUCGGAUUUACUGGGCGUAAAGGGCGCGUAGGCGGCCACCGCAAGUCAAUUGUGAAAUCUCCGGGCUUAACUCGGAAAGGUCAACUGAUACUGCGGGGCUAGAGUGCGGAAGGGGCAACUGGAAUUCUCGGUGUAGCGGUGAAAUGCGUAGAUAUCGAGAGGAACACCUGCGGCGAAGGCGGGUUGCUGGGCCGACACUGACGCUGAUGCGCGAAAGCCAGGGGAGCGAACGGG